GAUGAACGCUGGCGGCGUGCUUAACACAUGCAAGUCGAGCGGGCAAUUUAUCUAGCACUGAUUACUUCAAAUGGAAAUCAUAAGUGUAAUCAUGAAUUUCUACCUUUAAUAAAGAAAAAAGAAAUUCAUGUACGCAAAUAGUGAUAACACAUUUUAGUGGAGUGAUGAGUGCUGGAUAAAUUGCUAGCGGCGGACGGGUGCGUAACACGUGGGUAACCUGCCCCUAUCACUGGGAUAACACACUGAAAAGUGUGCUAAUACCAGAUAAUAUAAGCUUUUGGCAUCAUUAGCUUAUCAAAGAAUUUCGGAUAGGGAUGGGCCCGCGUCUGAUUAGCUAGUUGGUGAGGUAACGGCUCACCAAGGCAACGAUCAGUAGCCGACCUGAGAGGGUGAUCGGCCACACUGGAACUGA
RNAcentral lists this ribosomal RNA (412 nucleotides) under uncultured bacterium. RNAcentral's name for it is "bacterial SSU rRNA". It matches the Rfam family "Bacterial small subunit ribosomal RNA", at positions 28 to 322 of the family's 1533-position model. The record is from RNAcentral.